UACGGGAGGCAGCAGUGGGGAAUAUUGCACAAUGGGCGAAAGCCUGAUGCAGCUAUGCCGCGUGUAUGAAGAAGGCCUUAGGGUUGUAAAGUACUUUCAUCGGGGAGGAAAAAACAAAACUAAUAAUUUUAUUUCUUGACGUUACCCGAAAAAGAAGCACCGGCUAACUCCGUGCCAGCAGCCGCGGUAAUACGGAGGGUGCUAGCGUUAAUCAGAAUUACUGGGCGUAAAGAGCACGUAGGUGGUUUUUUUAAAGUCAGAUGUGAAUCCCUGGGCUUAACCUGGAACUGCAUUUUGAAACUGAAAUACUAGAGUAUCGUAGAGGGAGGUAGAAUUCUAGGUGUAGCGGUGAAAUGCGUAGAUAUCUGGAGGAAUACCUGUGGCGAAAGCGGCCUCCUAAACGAAUACUGACACUGAGUGCGAAAGCGUGGGGAGCGAAACAGGGAUUAGAUACC
Molecule: ribosomal RNA, 455 nt
Filed under: uncultured bacterium
Lineage: Bacteria
Description: bacterial SSU rRNA
Rfam family: Bacterial small subunit ribosomal RNA
Source: RNAcentral